This 963-nucleotide long non-coding RNA is filed under the name Equus caballus (horse). RNAcentral's name for it is "lncRNA (ENSECAG00000046351.1)". The record is from RNAcentral. Lineage: Eukaryota; Metazoa; Chordata; Mammalia; Perissodactyla; Equidae.
AUGGCUUCGUACCUGGCUGCUCAGAGUGAGGUCUGCAGACCAGCAGCGUCACCACCACCAGGUAGCCUGUCGAAAUGCGGAAGUUUGGGCCCCACCUGGACCUAAUAAGUGAGAUUUUGCAUUUUAGCGAGCCCCCAGGUGAGUCCCCUGCACGUCACAGCUUGAGAAGCGGUCAUCUGUAGAAUUUGUUGAUUCCAGAGGAAACGUAGAACGGUAGAUGAAUGUCUUACUUGAAUCAUGUUGAUCAUAAUCUUAAAGGGGUACCAGACAAACAAGGGUUAAUAGGAUCUUCAGAGGAUCGAGAUACAAAGAUCUACGUGCACAGUGAGGAGGAACAACGCGGAAACUCCAAGCUGAAGAGAAACAACUGUGUUACUACGUUUCCCUGAGGAUGAUUGCGGCCACCUAUUAGACACCAGCACCUUUCCAGGCUCUGGGUUCCACGAGAAAUGAAACCUGCGAAUACGUCUCCCCACACAGCAAAAGGGACCUGGGGAGUGUGAUUAAGUCAAGGAUCUCGAGAUGGGAGAUGAUGCUGGAUUAUCCGGAAGGGACAAUGUCAUCCCAGGGGUCCUUAUCAGAGAGAGAUGGGAGAUUCAGAGACAGAGAGAGAUUUGAAGAUGCCACACUGCUGGAUUGGACAACACAAGGCGGCCGUGUGUCAAGGAAUGGCAGCAGCUUCCAGAAGCUAGAAAACCAAGGAACAGAGCCCCCAGCAGACCUUCCAGAGGGUGCCCUGCUGGCACCUUGCUUUUAGGACUCUGACCUCCAGAACUGUAAGAGAAUAAAUGUGUGCCAUCUAAAGCCAAAGCUUGUAGCAAUUUGUUACAGUGGCAACAGGAAACACACAUAGGAAGAGACAGACGAUAAACAGAUAAUUGAAGAAGAUACAUAUUAUGUCAGGGGAAAUAAGUGCCACGGAGGAAAAGGGUGCAGAGAAGGGGAGAGAGAGUGAGGGACGGG